AUGAGAAGACCUCAGUGACCACAAAGAACAGAACUCCUGCCUAGGUUGGUUACAGCCUAAAUUACCAUCCCUGUGGCUCCCACUCACAACCUUCUUGACUUAUAGAGCAAGAAACCAAUAAGAGCUCCCAAAAGGAGAGAGAUGUUACCUCCUCCUUCUAUAUCUCCCACAGACAGGCAGGCUCCCAUAAAUUCAACUCCAUCUUUAUCUCCUAUAGGUCUCUAUCAUAGACCCUCCACCCUGCCAGCCCUUUCUGUGCUGGCACCAUCAACCCUGGUUUUGCAAUUCUACCCCCUCCAUCUAGGAUGUCUCUCCUCCUCUAUUCUGCCUAUCCAUCAUUCAAGGCCUAGUUGAAGCUCUGCUUCCUCCUUGAAGCUUUCAUUCUUCAUCCAGGUCCAUGGGGUGCCAUCUCUGCCAUCACGACCUGGGACCCCAUUAUGGCCUGGAUGCCCUGGGAUGCCUGCCAUCCAACCUGUGCAGGCCCCCUUGGGCAGAGGAAGCAGGACUCCGGGCCCUUGAGUUGUGGUAUCCUGGCCAUGACUGGGCAGAGCUAAUAGCAGUAGAACAGCUCCCAGCAACAUCCUGAGUCCUGGAAUCCACAUGUGCACUGUCAGCCAUGGAGAGACAGACCCCACACAGCACACCCAGUUGAUACCUACACAGGACUCCAUCCACCUCAGCAGAGUCCACUUCAAGGAGCUGCUUUCUCAGUAUUCAACUCUUUCAGGAAGACUUUUCUGAAUAUUGCAGCCCACCUUGAUCUCUUUCUGCCCCCAAAUUUGUAAUACUUAACAUUAUUCCUGUGUGUAGUCUCCUUUCCUCACCAAGAUUAUGAAUUCAGUGAUUGCACAGAUGACACUCCUCUAAUUUUUCCAUAUCUGAGCACAGGAACAAGCACAGGGAAAGCUCCAAGAGUCAACUUGCCAAGAAUCCAUCCUUGAGUUUCCCAAGUACGAUGACACCGAUUGCUCCAAUCAGUGCUAACCAGCUUCUCUCCCCUGGCUCCUUUCUUCUUUUCCUUUCCCCUCUUUUCUCUCAUUUUCUGUGUCUAUUCCUCCUUCUUACUCUCUCAUUCUUUCUUCCUCUACCCUUCUCCUGGGGCACAUGUUUGACCAUUUGGUAUAUUACAUUUGCACACACACACACACACACAUACACAGAGAGAGAGAGAGAGAGACUCACCUUGAGUUAAACAGACAAGAGACACAUCAUCCCAUGAACAUAUCCGCUGGCCCUUUGUUUGCCUGGGCCACCUUUAGCUGCCCCUCCUCUCCUGUCUAAUCUCUAUUCAGGACCCAGUUCAGAUGUCAUCUCUUUCAGGAAGUCCUCCUUCUUCUCCAUCUCACUCCUUGGUUUGUUCUUUCACCUCUGUGUUUCUCCAGUGCCCUGGUAAUAUGGUUUGGGUCUGUGUCCACACCCAAAUAUCAUGUCGACAUGUGUUGGAGAAGGGGCCUGGUGGGAGGCGAUGGAAUCAUGGAGGCUGACUUCUCCCUUGCUGUUCUCAUGAUAGUAGGUGAAUUCUCACAAGAUCUGGUUGAAAGUGUGUAGCACUUCCCCUAUAUGUGCUCUCUCUCUCUCUCCUCUCUCUCACUCUCUCUCCUGCCGCCAUAUAAUGUGCUUGCUUCCCCUUCGCUCUUCCACCAUGAUUGUAAGUUAUCUGAGGGCUCCCCAGCCAUGCCCACUGUACCACCUAUGGAACUGUGAGUCAAUUAAACCUCUUUUCUUUAUAAA
Cercocebus atys (sooty mangabey) is the source of this 1731-nucleotide long non-coding RNA. RefSeq lists it as uncharacterized. NCBI's taxonomy places the organism in Eukaryota, Metazoa, Chordata, Mammalia, Primates, Cercopithecidae. The transcript has 2 exons. The record is from RefSeq and is a predicted model, not a curated record.